Molecule: ribosomal RNA, 504 nt
Filed under: uncultured bacterium
Lineage: Bacteria
Description: partial 16S ribosomal RNA
Rfam family: Bacterial small subunit ribosomal RNA
Source: RNAcentral
AUUGAACGCUGGCGGCAGGCCUAACACAUGCAAGUCGAACGGUAGCACAGAGAGCUUGCUCUCGGGUGACGAGUGGCGGACGGGUGAGUAAUGUCUGGGAAACUGCCCGAUGGAGGGGGAUAACUACUGGAAACGGUAGCUAAUACCGCAUAACGUCGCAAGACCAAAGUGGGGGACCUUCGGGCCUCACACCAUCGGAUGUGCCCAGAUGGGAUUAGCUAGUAGGCGGGGUAAUGGCUCACCUAGGCGACGAUUCCUAGCUGGUCUGAGAGGAUGACCAGCCACACUGGAACUGAGACACGGUCCAGACUCCUACGGGAGGCAGCAGUGGGGAAUAUUGCACAAUGGGCGCAAGCCUGAUGCAGCCAUGCCGCGUGUAUGAAGAAGGCCUUCGGGUUGUAAAGUACUUUCAGCGGGGAGGAAGGCGGUGAAGUUAAUAACUUCACCGAUUGACGUUACCCGCAGAAGAAGCACCGGCUAACUCCGUGCCAGCCGCCGCAGUAA